This 491-nucleotide ribosomal RNA is filed under the name uncultured bacterium. RNAcentral's name for it is "partial 16S ribosomal RNA". It matches the Rfam family "Bacterial small subunit ribosomal RNA", at positions 29 to 506 of the family's 1533-position model. The record is from RNAcentral.
AGUGAACGCUGGCGGUAGGCCUAACACAUGCAAGUCGAACGGCAGCACAGUAAGAGCUUGCUCUUACGGGUGGCGAGUGGCGGACGGGUGAGGAAUACAUCGGAAUCUACUUUUUCGUGGGGGAUAACGUAGGGAAACUUACGCUAAUACCGCAUACGACCUACGGGUGAAAGCAGGGGAUCUUCGGACCUUGCGCGAUUGAAUGAGCCGAUGUCGGAUUAGCUAGUUGGCGGGGUAAAGGCCCACCAAGGCGACGAUCCGUAGCUGGUCUGAGAGGAUGAUCCGCCACACUGGAACUGGGACCCGGCCCAGACCCCUACGGGGGGCAGCAGGGGGGAAUUUUGGAAAAUGGGCGCAAGCCUAACCCAGCCAUCCCGCGUGGGUGAAGAAGGCCUUCGGGUUGUAAAGCCCUUUUGUUGGGAAAAAAAAGCAGCAGGUUAAUACCCCGCUGUUCUGGCGGUACCCAAAGAAUAAGCCCCGGCUAACUUCGU